This 148-nucleotide small nuclear RNA is filed under the name Chinchilla lanigera (long-tailed chinchilla). RNAcentral describes it as "U2 spliceosomal RNA (ENSCLAG00000020746.1)". The stretch from base 1 to 116 matches the Rfam family "U2 spliceosomal RNA". From Rfam's summary of the family: U2 is a small nuclear RNA (snRNA) component of the spliceosome (involved in pre-mRNA splicing). Complementary binding between U2 snRNA (in an area lying towards the 5' end but 3' to hairpin I) and the branchpoint sequence (BPS) of the intron results the bulging out of an unpaired adenosine, on the BPS, which initiates a nucleophilic attack at the intronic 5' splice site, thus starting the first of two transesterification reactions that mediate splicing. The record is from RNAcentral. Lineage: Eukaryota; Metazoa; Chordata; Mammalia; Rodentia; Chinchillidae.
ACCACUUCUUGGCCUUUUCACUAAGAUCAAGUGUAGUAUCUGUUCUUCUCAGUUUAAUAUAUGAUAUGCCUUCUAUCCAAGGACAAAAUAUUAAGUGGAUUUUUGAGAUAUGUUAAUUAGUUUCAUUUAUACUAGUAGUUUAUCUUAG